CGGACUGUUAAGUCGGUUGUGAAAGCCCUGGGCUCAACCUAGGAACUGCAUCCGAUACUGGCAAUCUAGAGUUUAAGAGAGGGAAGUGGAAUUCCAGGUGUAGCAGUGAAAUGCGUAGAUAUCUGGAGGAACAUCAGUGGCGAAGGCGACUUCCUGGCUUAAAACUGACGCUGAGGUGCGAAAGCUUGGGUAGCGAACGGGAUUAGAUACCCCGGUAGUCCAAGCCGUAAACGAUGUCAACUAGCUGUUGGCCUUAUUAAAAAGGUUAGUAGCGUAGCUAACGCGAUAAGUUGACCGCCUGGGGAGUACGGUCGCAAGAUUAAAACUCAAAGGAAUUGACGGGGGCCCGCACAAGCGGUGGAGCAUGUGGUUUAAUUCGAUGCAACGCGAAGAACCUUACCAUCCCUUGACAUCCUGCGAACUUUCUAGAGAUAGAUUGGUGCCUUCGGGAACGCAGUGACAGGUGCUGCAUGGCUGUCGUCAGCUCGUGUCGUGGGAUGUUGGGUUAAGUCCCGCAACGAGCGCAACCCUUAUCAUUAGUUGCUAACAUUCAGUUGAGAACUCUAAUGAGACUGCCGGUGAUAAACCGGAGGAAGGCGGGGACGACGUCAAGUCAUCAUGGCCCUUAUGGGAUGGGCUACACACGUGCUACAAUGGGGGGUACAAAGAGCAGCCAACUGGCGACAGUGCGCGAAUCUCAUAAAACCUCUCGUAGUCCGGAUCGGAGUCUGCAACUCGACUCCGUGAAGUCGGAAUCGCUAGUAAUCGUGAAUCAGAAUGUCACGGUGAAUACGUUCCCGGGCCUUGUACACACCGCCCGUCACACCAUGGGAGUGGGUUGCAAAGGAAGUGGGUAGUCUAACCUUCGGGAGGGCGCUCACCACUUUG
RNAcentral lists this ribosomal RNA (888 nucleotides) under uncultured bacterium. RNAcentral's name for it is "bacterial SSU rRNA". It matches the Rfam family "Bacterial small subunit ribosomal RNA", at positions 576 to 1464 of the family's 1533-position model. The record is from RNAcentral.